This is a long non-coding RNA of Aricia agestis (brown argus), 177 nucleotides long. RefSeq lists it as uncharacterized. The record is from RefSeq and is a predicted model, not a curated record. Lineage: Eukaryota; Metazoa; Arthropoda; Insecta; Lepidoptera; Lycaenidae. The transcript has 4 exons.
UAUCUACUUACUCAAAUAGAUUCUGCAUUCAUUCGAGUGUAGGCACAAAACUGUGUCACUUCUGCGGUACUGAUCUAUAGCAAUCACCGCCCCGCCUUCCACCCCGCUCAUGCCUCAAGUGCGACAUGUUUUUUGUUCGCAAUAGCUGCUCUAUACACCUCAAUGGCUGAUCUACGU